CACAACACGCACUUUUUAUCAUGGUGAUCAACCUGGGGUUCGUUCGCCUUCACCGGCGAGUGGCCCUGCUUUUUACACACCAUGGCUAACCAUGUAUCAAACCAAACUCUGAAGCUUUGACUGCUAUUAAUCGGCGGUCUUAACCGAGAACAACUCUCAACAACGGAUAUCUUGGCUCUCGCAACGAUGAAGAACGCAGCGAAAUGCGAUACGUAGUGUGAAUUGCAGAAUUCCGUGAACCAUCGAAUCUUUGAACGCAUAUUGCGCUCGACCCUUCGGGGAAGAGCAUGUCUGCCUCAGCGUCGGUUUAAACCUCAUCCCUCCCAUUCACUUGGGUCCAAUUGGCUUGCUCAAGCCGGUUGUCGUGAUGGACCUGACCUCCCCACCGUGUGCCGUGCAUUCUGGUGGGUUGGUUGAAGCACAGAGGCUUAAACUGGGACCCUUAUGGGCUCAACUGGAUAGGUAGCACCACUUGCCUCGCGCGAGUGCCUACACGAAGUUGUGCUUGCGGACCUGGUUAGGAGCCCAGCAGGAAUCAGUCCCUCGGGACUGAAUCAUAG
Molecule: ribosomal RNA, 560 nt
Filed under: Desmodesmus lunatus
Lineage: Eukaryota; Viridiplantae; Chlorophyta; Chlorophyceae; Sphaeropleales; Scenedesmaceae
Description: eukaryotic LSU rRNA
Rfam family: 5.8S ribosomal RNA (bases 152-305)
Source: RNAcentral